This is a long non-coding RNA of Oxyura jamaicensis (ruddy duck), 212 nucleotides long. RefSeq lists it as uncharacterized. The record is from RefSeq and is a predicted model, not a curated record. The transcript is spliced from 2 exons. NCBI's taxonomy places the organism in Eukaryota, Metazoa, Chordata, Aves, Anseriformes, Anatidae.
GGAAAGUGUAGAAACUGUAAGUGUUAGGAAGAGAGAAUUAGGAAAAAAGAAGAGUGGAGGGUAGAAAGAAGAAAUUUGAGACCUAGAAGAGACAGCCAAUGAGCUGUGCUCUUUCUCCUCCACCAAGACAGAGAUACCUUCUUGGUUUCAACAGGAUACAGGAUGAGCAUUGACCUUUCCAGUGAAAUACUGAUUGCAAAACAGACACAGUG